RNAcentral lists this long non-coding RNA (250 nucleotides) under Mytilus galloprovincialis (Mediterranean mussel). Lineage: Eukaryota; Metazoa; Mollusca; Bivalvia; Mytilida; Mytilidae. The record is from RNAcentral.
CGGUUACCUGUAGUUGUUAAUUUCUGUGUCAUUUUGGUGUCUUAUGGAGAAUUAUCUCAUUGGCAAUCAUACCACAUCUUCUGUUUUAUAUUGACAAAUUUUCUGUUUAUGUUUCCUUUGAAUUGCGUUUUAGAAAUAGCCAUCAACAUCGCAAUUAAGUCUAUUUGGUGGUUAUUGAGAUUAACCACAAGUAUCUGAUCAUAUUCACUGUUGACAAUACCAAAGUUACAAUGCAAACCAUGCCUUUUAG